Molecule: ribosomal RNA, 442 nt
Filed under: uncultured bacterium
Lineage: Bacteria
Description: partial 16S ribosomal RNA
Rfam family: Bacterial small subunit ribosomal RNA
Source: RNAcentral
CCUACGGGAGGCAGCAGUGGGGAAUAUUGGGCAAUGGACGCAAGUCUGACCCAGCAACGCCGCGUGAAGGAAGAAGGCUUUCGGGUUUUUAACUUCCUUUCAGGUGGAAGCGCAGAAGACGGUACCCCUUGAAUAAGCCACGGCUAACUACGUGCCAGCAGCCGCGGUCAUACGUAGGUGGCAAGCGUUCGCCGGAUUUACUGGGUGUAAAGGGCGUGCAGCCGGAGAGACAGGUCAGAUGUGAAAUCCACGGGCUCAACCCGCGAACUGCAUAUGAAACUGUUUCCCUUGAGUGGCGGAGGGGUAAUCGGAAUUCUUGGUGUAGCGGGGAAAUGCGUAGAUAUAAGGAAGAACACUCGUGGCGAAGGCGGAUUACUGGACGAUAACUGACGGUGAGGCGCGAAGGCGUGGGGAGCGAACAGGAUUAGAUACCCGGGUAGUC